This 405-nucleotide ribosomal RNA is filed under the name uncultured bacterium. Its description in RNAcentral is "bacterial SSU rRNA". It matches the Rfam family "Bacterial small subunit ribosomal RNA", at positions 355 to 776 of the family's 1533-position model. The record is from RNAcentral.
UGGGGAAUAUUGCACAAUGGGGGGAACCCUGAUGCAGCGACGCCGCGUGAGCGAGGAAGUAUUUCGGUAUGUAAAGCUCUAUCAGCAGGGAUGAAGAAAGACGGUACCUGAGUAAGAAGCCCCGGCUAACUACGUGCCAGCAGCCGCGGUAAUACGUAGGGGGCAAGCGUUAUCCGGAUUUACUGGGUGUAAAGGGAGCGUAGACGGCAAGGCAAGCCAGAAGUGAAAGGGCAGGGCUCAACCCUGUACAUGCUUUUGGAACUGUGGUGCUAGAGUGCAGGAGAGGUAAGUGGAAUUCCUAGUGUAGCGGUGAAAUGCGUAGAUAUUAGGAGGAACACCAGUGGCGAAGGCGGCUUACUGGACUGUAACUGACGUUGAGGCUCGAAAGCGUGGGGAGCAAACAGG